CCGCCCAUUGCUACCACCGAUUGGAUGGUUUAGAGAGGUUCUUAGAUCAGCCACGCUGGUAUCAGUCAGGGUUCUAGUAGAGUGCCAAGAAGACAGUUAAAGUUGUCUAUCUAGAGGAGGUAAAAGUCAUAACAAGGUUUCUGCAGGUGAACCUGUGGGAG
Molecule: non-coding RNA, 161 nt
Filed under: Chelonia mydas (Green sea turtle)
Lineage: Eukaryota; Metazoa; Chordata; Testudines; Cheloniidae
Description: Eukaryotic small subunit ribosomal RNA
Rfam family: Eukaryotic small subunit ribosomal RNA
Source: Rfam by way of RNAcentral